Triticum aestivum (bread wheat) is the source of this 3479-nucleotide long non-coding RNA. RefSeq lists it as uncharacterized. NCBI's taxonomy places the organism in Eukaryota, Viridiplantae, Streptophyta, Magnoliopsida, Poales, Poaceae. The transcript is spliced from 8 exons. The record is from RefSeq and is a predicted model, not a curated record.
CGCCGCAUUCGUCCUCGUUCCUCUCCCUCCCACCCCAUCGGCGCCGCCGACCUCUACCGCAGACCUCGCCGCCGCCGCCGCCGCUGACCUCUCCCCGUCUCCCGCGGACCUCGCUGCCGCCGCCGAACCCACUACCACCCCUUCCCUCCCCUCACAUCCCCUCGUCAGAGGAGAAGGGAAGAUAAGAGGAAUGUGAGAUCGAGCGGGUGAGUAGGCCAGGAGGCAGCCAUGGCGUUCAGAUCCGCCGGCGCCAUCUUCAACUGAUUCUUCGACCUGCGUGUGGUGUGCCUCUGCUCGGCCGUGCGACGAGACGGGCUCCCUGCUCCGUGCCCAUGCAUUCCGAUGGUGAGGUGCACGCACGCGUCUAGAGGCGGAGCACAACCUUGCUGCAGCGGCUCGCCGGAGGCCCCUUUGCUCUCUCUUUUUUUGAAAGAAAAGGCAUACCAAAAUCUGCCUUAUCCUGCAGGUGGCUCUCAGGGAGCACCACCUGUUGCCUCAUUAUUAUUAAAAUCAAUUACGGGAUUGAUUGUCUGGAAAAGAUCAAUGUGAUUCUCAUGUCCAUUAAUUUGUUCAAUCUCAGUGAAUCUCACAUCAAAACAUUGUCUUUAAAAUUAUAAGCAAACUGUACUAGAAUGGUAAGGUGUAGUGUAGGAGAAAUAGCUGAGAACUGAGUUCCUCACUCUUGUGUAGGAUAAUAAGCUACAUGUCUUCUCUAUCUAGCGUUAGAUUUAUCAUGUCCUUUAAGGAUUGCAGAAUUGAUAGCCCAUCACAGUGCCUCGGAAUGCUAUUUGCAAGUAGAAUUGAUAGUCAUGUGUCGUUUGGUUCACUGGUUCAACGCAUCUGUAUAUGCCAUGACAGUUGGUUGGUUGUGAAACCAAAUUACCAUGGUGAGGUCUCCUAUAAUUCUUCUUGAUGCACCAAAGCAUUUGCAGCUACUUACUUUAUAGAAGAUGCCCUUUUGCUGGGUGUAUGCGAGCUCUAAUUCCUCUUCUCUGCAUAAAUGAAUCCCCUUUUGUUGUUCUGCUGUGUGCAGGCACUUUGUUCUCAUCCCAUCUGAUCUGGUUGUGUCAACAAAGGUGUCCGUCGGGAAGCUGCUCUCACACGGGUUCAAGGGCAUGCCGUGCCGGGAAAGGAGGGCUGCUCCGACCCUGACAGCAUGGAAGGUCGCCCAUGUCUUCUCAACACUUUGAGCAGUGCAUCCGCAAGGCCGAGGAGGAUCCUCAACGCGCCAUGGUCUGGGCCAUCCUCAGCGCCAUAGUGUCGACUUCCAUGAUGAAGGCGACCAUAGGCAGCAUGUCAUUGAGUAGUCACCGAACGGGCACCAAUGUUCCUCUUCGGCUUGGGUGCACACACCACUGGGACGGUGAUGACUGUCGUAACCUCCAUGUUUGGCUACUAUGAUUUGUACAGGAAGUUAGCAAUACACACACUAUGCGUUGUUCACUGCAAGUGUGUACAAGCAUGCACUAGGUCAGAAUAGUGGUUCACUUUGCACAGGUGUACCCUCCACAUGAGGUGCUCUCAGUCUUGCUUAAUCUUGAACCGGACACCAUUGCUGGUGAACAACUAAGCUGGUCUAACUAGAGAGGCGUGCAUUGUAGCUCAUGUCUAGCGCUAGUGGUGCAAGGAGCUACCUACUAUUGGGUGUUGUUUGCAAAAUGGUCUGGGUACCAGCAUGUAUGUAGAGAGUGUAUCAUGUUAUAAUUUUGUGCUUCUGCAAAUAUGCGAAAUACUAUCUAUCAUAGAAUCACACACACGAUCAGGACGAGAAGUUGACUGAGAUGGAGUUGGGGCAUGGGUAGUGUUGUGUAUGGACCAUUAUAAGAUUCUAUAAUUUUGAACUCUAAUGUUUUCUUAGUCUAUCCAUGAGGCGUGCUACGCAAUGCCACUACUCUUUUGGAAAUGGCAACUUGAUUGUUGGUGACUAUGUGUAAGAUGCAAUUUUGAGUGGUUUAGUCCGGUACCCUACUGUUGCAAAUCAAAUCAUUUCCAAUUGCUCUGUCUUUGUCCUUGAACACUCUGUUUUGUUUUCUACAUUGGAGCUGGGAAAUACAGGGCAAUGUUUCCUAUGUGAGUUGCCGCCAUGUUGUACAAUAUCCAUAUUAGCCUUUUAUGUCAACCAAUCAGUUCAUGUUCAGGGGGAAUAUUAUAUGUUUUGUUCUUGUAAGAGUUUAGGAGAAAUCGUCAUCGAGAAAAAAAAAUUGUUUGUUUUAUGAUGCUGACAAACUGGGAAUAUUUAGUCUGCUCAAGAACUCUCUCUCCAUCCUUUGAUGAUUACCCUGUAAUCCUGUAUAGAUGCCAUUUGAAGAAUGUUUUGUUAACCUUGGUCUCCUCGUAUGAAGUGUCGUUUACCUUUGAGCAGUCCGCUAAUGUUUUUUUAGCAAAGUUGCAUUGUUUCUACACUCUAGCAAAGUUGCAUUGUCUGGUCCAUACCUUUGCGUCAACUAUGACCUAUGUUUGAUUCCUUGCUGUUUGAGCUACAUGAGACUUAAUAGAUAGGAUGAAUUCAUGAUAAUGCUUAGAAUCAAGAAUAUGGUUCUCAAUGAUAUUCAUUGCUCCAUUUGGUUGUUGAAUGUAUUUCUAGCUAAGGUGUAGACUGCAUCUUUUUUGACGGCGCAGAUUGCUUUGCAGAUUUUCAAGUAGUUUGUUGCAUGUGACUUGUGUUCAUACAUCUUCUAUACAUUUCUAUGAUUUUUCAGGUAAUAAACGGUUGCUGAAUUGACACAUGCUUCGUGCUUGAUAGUGAAGAAAUAUAGGCGAAAAUUCAGAGAUCCCUGAAGAAAUCAAGGCUAAAAUCAUGGUUGUUAAAGACCCUUCCAAAGCCGGGAUGAGACGUUGAAGGAGCGGAGUUUCUGGAGCAUCAAGGAAUGGUCGGUGAAACAUUACAACCUGUUAUUUUCCAAAACACGGUCUUGUGUACAUUGAGCGAGCAUGAUGCUCUAGAGAGCUAGUUCCCAACCUUGCCCAGGCUAGCCAGGCAGUACAGCAAGGCAUCCUUAUUGAAUGAGAUGUUGCCAAGGGGACAUUUGAAACGCUAUUUAGUCUGCGGAAACAGGGUUUUCAUCUUUCCCUCACACCAAAGCAAUUGCAAGGAGAGCAUGGACAUCAACUUGUCAUAUGACCAAUAACGGAGAAGAAAUAUACAAAGGAAUGUGCAAGCCAUGAAUGUUUGAUUCUGUAUUUGACCAACCAGGAUUGACUACGAUUGUUGGAAAUAAAGUGGAUAAGGAAUUUGUGAGAGCUAUCAUGAAAAGGCGUUGACUUUGCUAGGGAAUAUGGAUGUUUAUUUAUGGAAUGCAGUGCCAGAACCAAAGUGAAUAUGGAGCAAUGCUUUGAGGAGUUUGCACUGCUGGUAUAUAUUGUAACGCCCUCGAUGCGGCUAUAGCUCCCACGUGUCGAGGCACGACUUAGAGGCAUAACCGCAUUGAAAGCAAUGUCGCAAGUCAGGCAAUCAUUACAACAUCCCAUGUAAUAUAUAA